GCCAAGGUGGCUCAGCCGGCAGAGCAGCGCACUCGUAAUGCGCAGGUCCCGGGUUCGAUUCCCGGUCUUGGCU
RNAcentral lists this transfer RNA (73 nucleotides) under Treponema sp. RNAcentral describes it as "tRNA-Thr". It matches the Rfam family "tRNA". Rfam says of the family: Transfer RNA (tRNA) molecules are approximately 80 nucleotides in length. Their secondary structure includes four short double-helical elements and three loops (D, anti-codon, and T loops). Further hydrogen bonds mediate the characteristic L-shaped molecular structure. tRNAs have two regions of fundamental functional importance: the anti-codon, which is responsible for specific mRNA codon recognition, and the 3' end, to which the tRNAs corresponding amino acid is attached (by aminoacyl-tRNA synthetases). tRNAs cope with the degeneracy of the genetic code in two manners: having more than one tRNA (with a specific anti-codon) for a particular amino acid; and 'wobble' base-pairing, i.e. permitting non-standard base-pairing at the 3rd anti-codon position. Lineage: Bacteria; Pseudomonadati; Spirochaetota; Spirochaetia; Treponematales; Treponemataceae. The record is from RNAcentral.